AAAUGCGAUAAGUAGUGUGCAUUGCAGAAUUCAGUGAAUCAUCGAAUCUUUGAACGCACAUUGCGCCCUUUGGUAUUCCUUAGGGCAUGCCUGUUCGAGCGUCAUCUAAACCUUCAAGCCCUGCUUUGUGUUGGGUGCCUGUCCCGCCUCCGCGCGCGGACUCACCUCAAAUCCAUUGGCGGCCCCCGCGUCGGCCACGAGCGCAGCAGAAACGCGAACUCGUGAGCCCGUCCGGGCGGCUCCCAGAAGCUACACCCACCCAGUUUGACCUCGGAUCAGGUAGGGAUACCCGCUGAACUUAAGC
This 304-nucleotide unclassified non-coding RNA is filed under the name plant metagenome. Its description in RNAcentral is "partial contains 5.8S ribosomal RNA, internal transcribed spacer 2, and large subunit ribosomal RNA". The stretch from base 1 to 104 matches the Rfam family "5.8S ribosomal RNA", at positions 51 to 154 of the family's 154-position model. The record is from RNAcentral.